Schistosoma rodhaini is the source of this 45-nucleotide non-coding RNA. NCBI's taxonomy places the organism in Eukaryota, Metazoa, Platyhelminthes, Trematoda, Strigeidida, Schistosomatidae. The record is from Rfam.
AUCCAGCUGACGAGUCCCAAAUAGUAAGAAACGCGCGUCCUGGAU